This 491-nucleotide ribosomal RNA is filed under the name uncultured bacterium. RNAcentral's name for it is "bacterial SSU rRNA". It matches the Rfam family "Bacterial small subunit ribosomal RNA", at positions 27 to 494 of the family's 1533-position model. The record is from RNAcentral.
GAACGAACGUUGGCGGCGUGGAUUAGGCAUGCAAGUCGUGCGAGAAAGCCCCUUCGGGGGUGAGUAAAGCGGCGAACGGGUGAGUAGCGCGUGGGGAAUCUGCCCUCGAGUUGGGGAUAACACUCCUAACGGGGUGCUAAUACCGGAUAACACGAUCUGAUCGCAUGGUCGGGUCGUCAAAGUCGGCCUCUGCUUGCAAGCUGGCGCUUGAGGAUGAUCCCGCGUCCCAUUAGCUAGUUGGUGAGGUAACGGCCCACCAAGGCUCCGAUGGGUAGCUGGUCUGAGAGGAUGGUCAGCCACACUGGGACUGAGAUACGGCCCAGACUCCUACGGGAGGCAGCAGUCGAGAGGCUUCGUCAAUGGGGGAAACCCUGAACGAGCGACGCCGCGUGGGCGAUGAAGGCCGUAAGGUCGUAAAGCCCUGUCAGAGGGGAAGAAAGACCCGAGUGAUAAUACCACUCAGGUUUGACGUUACUCUCAAAGGAAGCUCC